This 1110-nucleotide ribosomal RNA is filed under the name uncultured Aquificales bacterium. RNAcentral describes it as "bacterial SSU rRNA". It matches the Rfam family "Bacterial small subunit ribosomal RNA", at positions 9 to 1083 of the family's 1533-position model. The record is from RNAcentral. Lineage: Bacteria; Pseudomonadati; Aquificota; Aquificia; Aquificales.
GAGUUUGAUCCUGGCUCAGCGCGAACGCUCGCGGCGCGCCUAACACAUGCAAGUCGUGCGCAGGCUCGCUCCCCACGGAGCGGGUGCUGAGCGGCAAACGGGUGAGUAACACGUGGGUAACCUACCCUCAGGUAGGGGAUAACCCCCCGAAAGGGGGGCUAAUACCCUAUACCGCCCGGUGUCACUAAGACACCGGGUAAAAGGGGGCCUCUGCUCCGCACGCUCCCGCCUGAGGAUGGGCCCGCGGCCCAUCAGGUUGUUGGUGGGGUAACGGCCCACCAAGCCUACGACGGGUAGCCGGCCUAAGAGGGUGUCCGGCCACAGCGGGACUGAGACACGGCCCGCACCCCUACGGGGGGCAGCAGUGGGGAAUCGUGGGCAAUGGGCGAAAGCCUGACCCCGCGACGCCGCGUGGGGGACGAAGCCCCUCGGGGUGUAAACCCCUGUCAGGGGGAACGAUAGGGCGGUGAGCUAAUACCUCUCCGCCCCGACGGUACCCCCUAAGAAAGGGACGGCUAACUACGUGCCAGCAGCCGCGGUAAUACGUAGGUCCCAAGCGUUGCGCGAUCUCACUGGGCGUAAAGCGUCCCCAGCCGGUCCGGCAAGCGACAUGUCAAAUACCACCGCCCAACGGUGACCAGGCAUGCCGUACUGCCGGACUUGAGGUUCGCCCAGGUAGGCGGAAUUCCCGGUGUAGCGGUGAAAUGCGUAGAUAUCGGGAGGAACACCAAAGGGGAAGCCAGCCUACUGGGGCAGCCCUGACGGUCACGGACGAAAGCUGGGGGAGCAAACCGGAUUAGAUACCCGGGUAGUCCCAGCCGUAAACCAUGGGCGCUAGGCGCUGUCCCCAUAAGGCAGUGCCCCAGCUAACGCGCUAAGCGCCCCGCCUGGGGAGUACUGGCGCAAGCCCGAAACUCAAAGGAAUUGGCGGGGGCCCGCACAACCGGUGGAGCGUCUGGUUCAAUUCGAUGCUAACCGAAUAACCUUACCCGGGCUUGACUCGCCGGAGCCACCCAGGUGAAAACUUGGGACCUCUGCUCCUCACGGAGCAGACUCCGGCACAGGCGGUGCAUGGCCGUCGUCAGCUCGUGUCGUGAGAUGUUGGGUUAA